Molecule: long non-coding RNA, 297 nt
Filed under: Lathyrus oleraceus (garden pea)
Lineage: Eukaryota; Viridiplantae; Streptophyta; Magnoliopsida; Fabales; Fabaceae
Description: Pisum sativum (pea) long non-coding RNA (PSAT_LNC030203)
Source: RNAcentral
AAUGAUCCAUUUGAUCAUUCAUUAAUAAGUUUGAAAUAUUGAAGAUUUUAUCAACCGUAAAGAACCAAAGAUCAUGAUCAAUAGAUUUCAUCAACCAAUCAACAACAAAGGCAAAAAGGAUGUCAAGUUAAUGGUCAAAAUAAAAUAAAUAAAGGGUGAAUAAAAUAUAUGGGUGAAAAAUAUUCAAGGUAUAUUUAUAAAAUGUUGGAUUAAAAAUAAAAUAAGUGAAAGAAAAUAUGAAAUAAAAAUGAAAAAAGAAAUAAGUUAAAAUGAAGAAUAUAUGAAAUAAAAAUAAAA